This is a small nucleolar RNA of Oncorhynchus kisutch (coho salmon), 129 nucleotides long. Its record names the gene SNORA63. It matches the Rfam family "Small nucleolar RNA SNORA63". Rfam says of the family: E3 belongs to the H/ACA class of snoRNAs and is involved in the processing of eukaryotic pre-rRNA and has regions of complementarity to 18S rRNA. Lineage: Eukaryota; Metazoa; Chordata; Actinopteri; Salmoniformes; Salmonidae. The record is from Ensembl.
ACGCAGGAUAAGUUACAGUGCAGCUUGUUAAGUGCUGCUCUGUCGUUCCCCCUGCCCAUAUCAACUAGAUUCCUACUAUCCCUGUCUGUCUGCAUCCUACGGCUGACGGGGACGCUUGGUCUCGGACAC